Molecule: long non-coding RNA, 493 nt
Organism: Xiphophorus couchianus (Monterrey platyfish)
Lineage: Eukaryota; Metazoa; Chordata; Actinopteri; Cyprinodontiformes; Poeciliidae
Exons: 4
Source: RefSeq, a predicted model, not a curated record
CGGUCUUCUCUCUGACAGGCGGAGGAGAAAAACUGGACAUGAAAACUAUGAAGGUCAAAUGUUUCUGUCUUUUCUCUCUGCAGCUCCCAUCGAUUCACCUCAUUCAGCUGCAGUGCGGCUAUGGAUGAGAAGUAAAGAAUCGUCUUGAGGGCAUGCGCAACAUUUCCAGAUUGACUCUUCAAACGUCGGGAGGAAAAAUGUUUUCUGGCUCUGCUGAUGCGUCUCAGGUUCUCCAUCCUCAGAUGGCGGUCCAGGCCCGCCACCCGCAGGAUUUUUGGGAACUCAUCCAUCAUUUGGCCAGCAGCAGAAGAAGAAGAAGAAGAAGAAGAAGAAGAAGAAGAGUCCUCCAGGUGGAGUGUCAGGUGAGUUUGCUCUAGGGGUGAAGGAUUGUAAGUCACUGUUCGUGUUUAUCGCUGCUCUCAACCUGGAGUGUCGGCCAGAACACCAGUUAGGCCAGGAUUCAGCUCAGGACCAGAUGUCAGGAUGAGGUGCA